RNAcentral lists this ribosomal RNA (494 nucleotides) under uncultured bacterium. RNAcentral's name for it is "bacterial SSU rRNA". It matches the Rfam family "Bacterial small subunit ribosomal RNA", at positions 29 to 523 of the family's 1533-position model. The record is from RNAcentral.
AUUAAACGCUGGCGGCAUGCCUUACACAUGCAAGUCGAACGGCAGCACGGGGGCAACCCUGGUGGCGAGUGGCGAACGGGUGAGUAAAGCAUCGGAACGUGCCCUGGAGUGGGGGAUAACGUAGCGAAAGUUACGCUAAUACCGCAUAUUCUGUGAGCAGGAAAGCAGGGGAUCGCAAGACCUUGCGCUCUGGGAGCGGCCGAUGUCGGAUUAGCUAGUUGGUGGGGUAAAGGCCUACCAAGGCGACGAUCCGUAGCGGGUCUGAGAGGAUGAUCCGCCACACUGGGACUGAGACACGGCCCAGACUCCUACGGGAGGCAGCAGUGGGGAAUUUUGGACAAUGGGCGAAAGCCUGAUCCAGCCAUGCCGCGUGAGUGAAGAAGGCCUUCGGUUGUAAGACUCUUCGUGGGAGAAUAGCAUGGCGUAAUACCCUGUGUAGAUGACGGUACCUGGAGAAGAAGCACCGGCUAACUACGUGCCAGCAGCCGCGGUAA